This 1492-nucleotide long non-coding RNA is filed under the name Phocoena sinus (vaquita). RNAcentral describes it as "lncRNA (ENSPSNG00000021850.1)". Lineage: Eukaryota; Metazoa; Chordata; Mammalia; Artiodactyla; Phocoenidae. The record is from RNAcentral.
GGAAAGUAGGGGAGAGGAGUACGGGAGGGGCGGCCGCUGGGGCCCGCCUGAGCCUGAGCCUUGUUCUCUGGGUUUGGAACCGAUGACCAGGCCUGGAUCUCCCUCGGCCUGGUGGUGAGACCCACCUCCCAGCCUUUAGUGCCCUGGGCUAGCCUUCUGCCUUCUGAGAAACCCCUAUCUCUCCUCUCUCCUUCUCACCAGCAUCGGCAAGAAAAGACGUGGGGAGGCGAGACUUGGCGCGACCUAAGGAUGCAGUUUUUAAGUCAGAGCAGCCCAGCAAUCAAGUAACUUCCGUUUGCACAGCGUUUUGGAGAGCUUUCAACUGGGUGAAAUCCUCGCACAAACCUCAGAGAGGUUCAGAGAGGUUUUGGUUCUUGCCUAGUGAAGAAAAUGAAACCCAGAGAAGAGAAGGGCUCCUUUAAGGUCACGCGGUGAAUUUGUCACAGCCAGAACAAGGACUCAGGCCUCUUCAUGACUGGCAUGGUGGCCUUCCCACUCUAUCAUGGAACCUGGAGAAGUCUGGAAUGAAACAGAAGGAGUCAGAGUGUGACAGUGUCUUCGAGGGAUACCUUCAGAUUGAUGGAGGCAGGAAGACAGAUCAGGACGGGCCUCAUCUCAGAGGCGCAUCUCAUCGGGAUACUUCUUCCAUCCUGGUGCUGGUUCAGCUUUGAUCUGGGAAAAUAAAAUGCCAGGCUGCUGGGUCCCCAGCUGCCAUCUUCUGCAGCAAGAGUGAGACUUCAUGAUCCUGCUGGCUCACGCGCACUUCAUUUCCCGGUAAUUAAACAAGUGGAGAUCAAAGCCGACAAAUCUCCCCCAUCUCUCAGCGCAGUAGAUGAAAGAACAUUUGCAUCACUCGCUGCACUCAGGGAUUUCCCCGGCGGUCCAGUGGUUAAGGUUCCGUGCUUCCAGGUGCCCGGACGAGGGACGGAGCUGGGAGACGGCGUCCGGAGCGGCUCGCUGGCUCGCGUUGGCACCCGUCGCAUCUGGGGCUUUCCGGAGCCGGCUGAGCCCGAGGAAAGGUGGUGAGGUCUCCGACUGACGGCGGACGUGGCGGCUCAGUCCCAUGAGGUCAGUCACCGUUACUCUCAACGGCGCCGUUUUGCCCAAACCAGUGAAAGGUCCUUCUCCCUGCUCCGUGUGUUCUCCCUGUGAUCCCCGUUCUCUCUGUCGGGAUGCUCAUCAGCAAGAACUUUGCUGCCCUGCUUGAGGAGCAUGAUAUUUUUGUUCCAGGGGAUGAUGGUGAUGACUAACAGGGCAUGGAGGAAGUGUAGAAAGGAGAAAGUCCUGACUCAGGAAAUGGUGAUGCUCGCACCCUCUCCUCCUUCCCUGUCAGCACGUGGGAAAGCACCAGGGAAAACCCGCAGCCUCCCAACCCUAGUGAAGCCUCCUGCAUGGUCUGUGACCGUAGCUCAGAUCCCCAGGCUCCGGGAGGCUCCUGGAGAUGUGCUGCCCACCGAGCAUAAUCAAAUUAUGAAUAAACAUAAUAAAUACC